RNAcentral lists this ribosomal RNA (711 nucleotides) under Triticum aestivum (bread wheat). RNAcentral's name for it is "partial small subunit ribosomal RNA". Lineage: Eukaryota; Viridiplantae; Streptophyta; Magnoliopsida; Poales; Poaceae. The record is from RNAcentral.
AUGCAGGAUCAUCUUCGAUAUGGAAAUGAUGAGAUGUUGGAGAUCUUGGAGUAUGGCUACCAAGCUGUUGACCUGAAGAAUCUUACUCCAAGAGAGGUAUAUGACAAGAAUCUCAACGACACAACAACCAUGUGCAUAAGAAGAGGUAUGACUGACAAGCAAAGGAGACCAUACAUACAUAUCACAAGUGCCAAGGAAUUAUGGGAUAGCAUUGUGAGGACCAAGAUCGGUACCUCCACACUCCGGCUUGCUCAAUAUGAAAUUGCCAAGGGUCAAUUGCAAAACUUUUGUAUGGAGAAAGGAAAGAAGCUCACUAUGUUUCGUAUGCUUAUGGAGAUGGUGAGUAAGCACACCAUCACCAUUAAGGAACUCGAAACCCUCGUCACCGAGGAAAAGGAAAAAUAUGAAAUCCUUGAGCGGAAAGUCCAAUAUGAGGAAGCUAAUGACUCUUGCAAAGAGUUGAUGAAUGAUAAAAGUAAGCUUGUGAAGUCUCAUGCUUCUCUCUCUAAGUAUUGUGAGCUCCUAUCCGUGUCCCUCAAGACUAAGGAAGAAGAGCACACCCUUCUUACAAAGAUUUUUGAGACGCUCAAGCUUACUUAUCUUGAAACUCUAGCCAAGGCUUACUCUUAUCCUAUUAUCAAUGUUGAUGCUUGUACUACUAACUCUAGUAGUGAUCUAGCCUCAAGGCUCAAAUCGAGAAAGGUCACAUGA